UAGGGAAUCUUCCACAAUGGGCGAAAGCCUGAUGGAGCAACGCCGCGUGUGUGAUGAAGGGUUUCGGCUCGUAAAACACUGUUGUAAGAGAAGAAUGACAUUGAGAGUAACUGUUCAAUGUGUGACGGUAUCUUACCUGAAAGGAAUGGCUAAAUACGUGCCAC
Molecule: ribosomal RNA, 164 nt
Filed under: uncultured bacterium
Lineage: Bacteria
Description: partial 16S rRNA
Rfam family: Bacterial small subunit ribosomal RNA
Source: RNAcentral